Long non-coding RNA from Physella acuta, 373 nucleotides. RefSeq lists it as uncharacterized. Lineage: Eukaryota; Metazoa; Mollusca; Gastropoda; Physidae. The record is from RefSeq and is a predicted model, not a curated record.
GUGGAGUCCAAAUGGAGUCCUGCCGGUUGGCGUUUUUUUAAACCAAAUCUGAAUAUUUUUAUUAAAUCUUUUUUUUUUAAGUUAGGAAAGCUACUUUCGCUUUUGGCUUCAAAACAAACUCAAGAAUUUAGAAUCAGAAUUUCGUGAAUUUAGAUCUAGAAAUCGAGAUAACCAAUAAAACAGUUGUGUGGUUUACACUUAAAGUCAGUAUCUCAAGCCAGUUACCCUUAAUAAUAAUGUACUCAAGCCCUCAAACCACUUCUCUGGUUUAUCAAUUGUGUGCUCUACUGCUUGACCAAUGAAUCCCAAUUUAGUAAUUGUAGGUCAUUGUAAAAAUAUAUAUUGAUAUAUCCUAAAUAAAUCUUUUAUCAAG